GCGAUCCCUAUAAAUUGCAGUCGAGCGGACAGAUGGGAGCUUGCUCCCUGAUGUUAGCGGCGGACGGUGAGUAACACGUGGGUAACCUGCCUGUAAGACUGGGAUAACUCCGGAUGAAACCGGGCGCUAAUACCGGAUGGUUGUUUGAACCGCAUGGUUCAAACAUAAAAGGUGGCUUCGGCUACCACUUACAGAUGGACCCGCGGCGCAUUAGCUAGUUGGUGAGGUAACGGCUCACCAAGGCAACGAUGCGUAGCCGACCUGAGAGGGUGAUCGGCCACACUGGGACUGAGACACGGCCCAGACUCCUACGGGAGGCAGCAGUAGGGAAUCUUCCGCAAUGGACGAAAGUCUGACGGAGCAACGCCGCGGUGAGUGAUGAAGGUUUUCGGAUCGUAAAGCUCUGAUUGUUAGGGAAGAACAAGUACCGUUCGAAUAGGCGGUACCUUGACGGUACCUAACCAGAAAGCG
This 471-nucleotide ribosomal RNA is filed under the name Bacillus subtilis. RNAcentral describes it as "bacterial SSU rRNA". It matches the Rfam family "Bacterial small subunit ribosomal RNA", at positions 42 to 492 of the family's 1533-position model. Lineage: Bacteria; Bacillati; Bacillota; Bacilli; Caryophanales; Bacillaceae. The record is from RNAcentral.